GCUGGGCGCAGUGGUGUGGGCGUGUAGUCCCAGCUACUUGGGAGGCUGAGGCCGGAGGAUCGCUUGAGUCCAGGAGUUCUGGGCUGUUGUGCGCUAUGCCAAUCGGGUGUCCGCACUAAGUUCGGCAUCAAUAUGGUGAUCUCCCGGGAGUGGGGGACCACCAGGUUGCCUAAGGAGGGGUGAACUGGCCCAGGUUGGAAAACUAUAAUGGUGUUGUGUUGUACAAUGUGAAUUAAUGCUACAACUAGUACUCAAACAGUAUUUUACACUUUGUGUUUCU
Molecule: unclassified non-coding RNA, 280 nt
Organism: Oryctolagus cuniculus (rabbit)
Lineage: Eukaryota; Metazoa; Chordata; Mammalia; Lagomorpha; Leporidae
Rfam family: Metazoan signal recognition particle RNA
About the family: The signal recognition particle (SRP) is a universally conserved ribonucleoprotein. It is involved in the co-translational targeting of proteins to membranes. The eukaryotic SRP consists of a 300-nucleotide 7S RNA and six proteins: SRPs 72, 68, 54, 19, 14, and 9.
Source: Ensembl